RNAcentral lists this ribosomal RNA (525 nucleotides) under Hypocreales sp. Its description in RNAcentral is "eukaryotic LSU rRNA". It matches the Rfam family "Eukaryotic large subunit ribosomal RNA", at positions 39 to 576 of the family's 3401-position model. Lineage: Eukaryota; Fungi; Ascomycota; Sordariomycetes; Hypocreales. The record is from RNAcentral.
CAUAUCAAUAAGCGGAGGAAAAGAAACCAACAGGGAUUGCCCUAGUAACGGCGAGUGAAGCGGCAACAGCUCAAAUUUGAAAUCUGGCCCUAGGUCCGAGUUGUAAUUUGCAGAGGAUGCUUUUGGCGCGGUGCCUUCCGAGUUCCCUGGAACGGGACGCCAUAGAGGGUGAGAGCCCCGUCUGGUCGGAUACCUAGCCUCUGUAAAGCUCCUUCGACGAGUCGAGUAGUUUGGGAAUGCUGCUCAAAAUGGGAGGUAUAUGUCUUCUAAAGCUAAAUACCGGCCAGAGACCGAUAGCGCACAAGUAGAGUGAUCGAAAGAUGAAAAGCACUUUGAAAAGAGGGUUAAAUAGUACGUGAAAUUGUUGAAAGGGAAGCGCUUGUGACCAGACUUGGGCUUGGUGAAUCACCCGGCGUUCUCGCCGGGGCACUUUGCCGGUCCAGGCCAGCAUCAGUUCGCCGCGGGGGAUAAAGGCUUCGGGAAUGUGGCUCUUCGGAGUGUUAUAGCCCGUUGCGUAAUACCCUG